UAUUAGGUUCUUCACAACAGGUGGCCCAAGUAUUGGAGCUUCAGCUUCAGCAUCAGUCUUACCAAUGAAUAUUCAGGAUUGAUUUUUUUUUGGAUUGACUGGUUUGAUCUCCUUGCAGUCCCAGGGAUUCUCAAGAGUCUUCUCCAGAACCACAAUUCAAAAGC
Molecule: long non-coding RNA, 164 nt
Organism: Cervus elaphus (red deer)
Lineage: Eukaryota; Metazoa; Chordata; Mammalia; Artiodactyla; Cervidae
Exons: 3
Source: RefSeq, a predicted model, not a curated record